AAUCUGCUAGCACCUCAAUUUGGACUUCCCAGACUCCAGAACUGCAAGAAAUUAAUCUCUAUUGCUCACAAGCCACCCAGUCUAUGGUAUUCUGUUACAGCAGCUGGAGCAAACUGAGACAGUUGUUGACAGUGAUUUUCAUGAAGGUUCUCCCUUGCUCAUUUUUAAGCCCACUGGUUCAGACAGAAGCCUCUGGGAGAGCCCUCCAGGGUCCACCUUGAAGGCUUCAUUGCUUCUACCCAGAGCAUCUCCGUGGAGAGGAAGAAAAAGCAUCAACGAAAUGAGGUGCCUCAGCGGUUCUGGGGAGCAAUUCCUCUCUUCAUAUGACCAUUUGGGAAACCCCCAGUGAGAUGGAGUGUGCUUUUAAGCCAUGAAAACCACGCACAUCAGCCCCACCACAGAGCCUGUGUGAUUUCAUCUUAGAUGGUAUCUUGGAAGCAAGACCUACCUGGACUUUUUAGAAAUCUAAUCUAAUCAUUUUCUGUCUUGGAGUAGGUAAGUUCCCAUUUGCUGUCAUUACAGACAUACUUCAAUUUGUUAUUAUUUUGCUACCAUGUGUUUUGGGUUUUUAGGGGGUUUUUUUGGGUUUUUUUGAGACAGAGUCUUGCUCUGUCACCCAGGCUGGAAUGCAGUGGUGCAAUCUCAGCUCACCGCAACCUCCACCUCCCGGGUUUAAGUGAUUGUCCAGCCUCAGCCUCCCUAGUAGCUGGGAUUACAAGUGCCCACCACCACGCCCAGCUAAUUUUUGUAUUUUUAGUAGAGAUAGGGUUUCUUCAUGUUGGCCAGACUGGUCUCGAACUCCUGACCUCAGAUGACCUGCCUGCCUCAGCCUCCCAAAAUGCUGGGAUUACGGGUGUGAGCCAGCACACCUGGACGUGUUUUGUUUUUAAAUUCUCUGUUUUUCAUCUUUCCUGCCUUUUUCUAUUAUUCUGUGACCCAAUGAGUAAUGGAGGGAGCCCCAUGAAGAGUGGAGUCUGCCAUCAGCAGCGGACUCUGCCUGGCAUCCCAGAGGAGUCUGUGUCUUGAAGCAGUCAGUGCUCCCAGGGCUGAGCCGCUGGCCCUGAACAACCAUUCCUUGAAUAAAGAAAUAAAGAAUGAGGCUAACUCAAGACCCAUCCUGGCUCCAUAACUCUAUUUCCAAAGUCUUUUUUUUGUUUUUUUGCUUAACAUUGCAGGGCACCUGCUCUAUGCUCACUGCUGGGAUCACACAGGGGAAUGAGUAGAGCUCUCCCUGGCCUCAGACACCCCCACUUAGUGAGAAGGUUACCUGUGGGGACAACUCCCUUGGCAGGUGAUAAUAGCUAUGAUGGAAGCACCCACAGAAUGUUUGAAAAGAUUUGGCAAAAGUGGGGCCACACUGUUGCCUUUGGCAACAGCUAGGUGAAGCUGAUCAGCAGCCAUCCCUUUGGGUAGGUCCAUGCUCCAUUUCUCCACUGUCCUCACCAAGGCCAGACUAGGUUAGGCAAACAAGGCCCAAGAAGCCAACUUUAAGGAGGCACUCAUCUCCCAGUGCUAGCCUUGUACUUGCAAAGCCCCAAGAGUGAGUGCUUCCUUAAAACAUGCAUCCUGGGCACCUUCCUAGCCUUGCCCUAGCCGUAGUCCUGACCCUGGUCUCCAACACUCCCUACUGCCUCCCCAACAGUGAGGCCAUGUAUAAAUGGUCACAUCCUGCUUGCUCUGUUGUUUGUCUACUGCUAGAGUUAAGAGGAAUGUGAAUUUUCUGGUAUGCUUGUCUCCAUCAAAA
RNAcentral lists this long non-coding RNA (1744 nucleotides) under Pan troglodytes (chimpanzee). Its description in RNAcentral is "long non-coding RNA NONPTRT010272". Lineage: Eukaryota; Metazoa; Chordata; Mammalia; Primates; Hominidae. The record is from RNAcentral.